GCUGGGUGUGGUGGUGCACACCUGUAAUCCCAGUGGCUUGGGAGGCUGAGGCAGGAGGAUUGUGAGUUUGAAGAUAGCCUCAGCAAUUUAGCGAUGCCUUAAGCAACUCAGUGAUACCCUGUCUCUA
Molecule: small RNA, 127 nt
Filed under: Marmota monax (woodchuck)
Lineage: Eukaryota; Metazoa; Chordata; Mammalia; Rodentia; Sciuridae
Source: RNAcentral